GCAAGACCAAAGUGGGGGACCUUCGGGCCUCAUGCCAUCAGAUGUGCCAGAUGGGAUUAGCUAGUAGGUGGGGUAACGGCUCACCUAGGCGACGAUCCCUAGCUGGUCUGAGAGGAUGACCAGCCACACUGGAACUGAGACACGGUCCAGACUCCUACGGGAGGCAGCAGUGGGGAAUAUUGCACAAUGGGCGCAAGCCUGAUGCAGCCAUGCCGCGUGUGUGAAGAAGG
RNAcentral lists this ribosomal RNA (230 nucleotides) under Klebsiella pneumoniae. RNAcentral's name for it is "partial 16S ribosomal RNA". It matches the Rfam family "Bacterial small subunit ribosomal RNA", at positions 195 to 414 of the family's 1533-position model. Lineage: Bacteria; Pseudomonadati; Pseudomonadota; Gammaproteobacteria; Enterobacterales; Enterobacteriaceae. The record is from RNAcentral.